This 452-nucleotide unclassified non-coding RNA is filed under the name uncultured Bordetella sp. Its description in RNAcentral is "partial 16S-23S ribosomal RNA intergenic spacer". It matches the Rfam family "Bacterial small subunit ribosomal RNA", at positions 340 to 793 of the family's 1533-position model. The record is from RNAcentral. Lineage: Bacteria; Pseudomonadati; Pseudomonadota; Betaproteobacteria; Burkholderiales; Alcaligenaceae.
UACGGGGAGGCAGCAGUGAAAUUUUGGACAAUGGGGAAACCCUGAUCCAGCCAUCCCGCGUGUGCGAUGAGCCUUCGGGUUGCUCAAAAGCACUUUUGGCGGAAAGAAAGCGGCAGGUGUCUUGUGCAACUGACAGUACCUGCAGAAUAAGCACCGGCUAACUACGUGCCAGCAGCCGCGGUAAUACGUAGGGUGCAAGCGUUAAUCGGAAUUACUGAGGCGUAAAGCGUGCGCGGGCGGUUUAGGAAGAAAGAUGAAAUCCACAGGGCAAUAACUUUGGGAACUGCAUUUUAACUGCGAGCUAGAGUGUGUCAGAGGGAGGUGGAAUUCCGCGUGUAGCAGUGAAAUGCGUAGAUAUGCGGAGGAACACCGAUGGCGAAGGCAGCCUCCUGGGAUAACACUGACGCUCAUGCACAAAAAGCGUGGAGCAAACAGGAUUAGAUCCCCGGUAG